This 466-nucleotide ribosomal RNA is filed under the name uncultured bacterium. RNAcentral describes it as "SSU rRNA". It matches the Rfam family "Bacterial small subunit ribosomal RNA", at positions 26 to 518 of the family's 1533-position model. The record is from RNAcentral.
AGCCUGAACGCUGGCGGCGUGGCUAAGACAUGCAAGUCGCACGGAGGUAGCAAUACCUUAGUGGCGAACGGGUGAGUAAUGUAUCGCUAACGUACCCUUUAGUCCGGGAUAGCCAGGGGAAACCCUGGGUAAUACCGGGAAAUAUCUUCUUUUCGCAUGGAGAGAAGCUCAAAGGAGCAAUCCGCUGAAGGAGCGGGCGAUAUCGUAUCAGCUAGUUGGUGAGGUAACGGCUCACCAAGGCGACGACGCGUAGCCGGACUGAGAGGUCGGUCGGCCACAUUGGGACUGAGACACUGCCCAGACUCCUACGGGGGGCUGCAGUAACGAAUCUUCCGCAAUGCACGCAAGUGUGACGGAGCGACGCCGCGUGUGGGACGAAGUCCUUCGGGAUGUAAACCACUGUCAGGGGUUACCAAGUUCUGAGGAGCCCAGAGGAAGGCACGGCUAACUACGCGCCAGCAGCCGC